UGGCUUAGUCGGUAAAGCAUUUGCCUUAUAAGCAUAGGGACCUGAGUUUAACUCCUAG
RNAcentral lists this transfer RNA (58 nucleotides) under Cricetulus griseus (Chinese hamster). It matches the Rfam family "tRNA", at positions 8 to 63 of the family's 71-position model. From Rfam's summary of the family: Transfer RNA (tRNA) molecules are approximately 80 nucleotides in length. Their secondary structure includes four short double-helical elements and three loops (D, anti-codon, and T loops). Further hydrogen bonds mediate the characteristic L-shaped molecular structure. tRNAs have two regions of fundamental functional importance: the anti-codon, which is responsible for specific mRNA codon recognition, and the 3' end, to which the tRNAs corresponding amino acid is attached (by aminoacyl-tRNA synthetases). tRNAs cope with the degeneracy of the genetic code in two manners: having more than one tRNA (with a specific anti-codon) for a particular amino acid; and 'wobble' base-pairing, i.e. permitting non-standard base-pairing at the 3rd anti-codon position. The record is from Rfam by way of RNAcentral. Lineage: Eukaryota; Metazoa; Chordata; Mammalia; Rodentia; Cricetidae.